AUACUUACCUGGCAGGGGAGAUACCAUGAUCACGGAGGUGAUUUUCCCAGGGUGAAUCUUAUCCAUUGCACUCCAUUGUGUUGACCCCUGUGAUUUCCCCACAUGUGGGAAACUCAACUGCAUAAUUUGUGGUAGUGGGGGACUGCUUUUGUGCUCUCCCCAG
Ochotona curzoniae (black-lipped pika) is the source of this 163-nucleotide small nuclear RNA. RefSeq annotates it as U1 spliceosomal RNA. NCBI's taxonomy places the organism in Eukaryota, Metazoa, Chordata, Mammalia, Lagomorpha, Ochotonidae. The transcript has a single exon. The record is from RefSeq and is a predicted model, not a curated record.